RNAcentral lists this transfer RNA (77 nucleotides) under Vibrio alginolyticus. RNAcentral describes it as "tRNA-Pro". It matches the Rfam family "tRNA". Rfam says of the family: Transfer RNA (tRNA) molecules are approximately 80 nucleotides in length. Their secondary structure includes four short double-helical elements and three loops (D, anti-codon, and T loops). Further hydrogen bonds mediate the characteristic L-shaped molecular structure. tRNAs have two regions of fundamental functional importance: the anti-codon, which is responsible for specific mRNA codon recognition, and the 3' end, to which the tRNAs corresponding amino acid is attached (by aminoacyl-tRNA synthetases). tRNAs cope with the degeneracy of the genetic code in two manners: having more than one tRNA (with a specific anti-codon) for a particular amino acid; and 'wobble' base-pairing, i.e. permitting non-standard base-pairing at the 3rd anti-codon position. Lineage: Bacteria; Pseudomonadati; Pseudomonadota; Gammaproteobacteria; Vibrionales; Vibrionaceae. RNAcentral also lists the same sequence under 70 other names. The record is from RNAcentral.
CGGACUGUAGCGCAGCUUGGUAGCGCACCGUCAUGGGGUGUCGGGGGUCGCUGGUUCAAAUCCAGUCAGUCCGACCA